Molecule: transfer RNA, 73 nt
Filed under: Faecalimonas sp.
Lineage: Bacteria; Bacillati; Bacillota; Clostridia; Lachnospirales; Lachnospiraceae
Also listed under: 1 other name
Description: tRNA-Thr
Rfam family: tRNA
About the family: Transfer RNA (tRNA) molecules are approximately 80 nucleotides in length.
Source: RNAcentral
GCUGAUGUGGCGCAGUCGGUAGCGCGUCGCCUUGGUAAGGCGGAGGUCACGGGUUCAAGUCCCGCCAUCAGCU